GAAGAAACUAGACAUGACAGCGCCACAGAUUGGACGAUCAUCAAGGAAACUCCUGACAACUAAGCCUUAGGAAUACAAAGGGAAUAUUGAUAUGAUGCUUCAGGACUGCCAGUGUUUCCAGUUGAAUUUGGUCUUUGUUGGUUACCAGCUACGGCAAUUCUUCUUCAACUGAGAAAGAUAAAUCUGUUUUAAACAUCCCACCAACAAGAAGAACUUUAAUGGUGGUUAAACCAGCUUAAAGUGCAAGCUGAGAAACAGGAAGAUAAAAGGACAUUAUCUGACAGACAAGAGAAGCUGGUAACCAAGGAUAAAUCUUGGGUUGCUAUGGGACAGACUGGUACAUUCUUGUGAUCAACACCACUAGGCAGCAACAAGGGAUGUGCCUGAUGAAGUAACCUCACCAAACUUUGAGCCAACCUUGAAGCAUAAGGGGCAUAGACAUGCCUGAAGGAAAUAUUCUUGAGAAUCACAAAGGAAAUACGGACGUAAAGAAUAUAAAAAUGUAAUGCCUCACCCCUAUACUGCAGUUAGCUAGGACAGAUAGGUCCUUGUCUGAAGGAAAGAAGACAUCUAAAGAUUCAACAAUCUUCGAGUGAUUGUUGCUUUGAUCAAAGGGAGACCCGUCUAAUUGUGUUUCUUAUUUAGUCCAUGCAUUAGUGGUAAAGCAAAAUAUAGUCUCUGAGAGAUAGUGCAGGGAGUUUUAAUGUGGGUGAGCACGUGGGUUUUGGGUGGGGGCCGAAAUCCCAGAAAAAUGUGAACACAAUCGGAAGCCAACCUGAACACACCGAUUUCCACAUAUAAAUGCAGCACGCAGGCUGUGGGCCAGUGGCCCCCGCAGGAGAAUAUGUUAUUAUGUCAACACGCAUUUUGGAGCUUAACUUUGGCUCCAGGGGUUUCCCGAAGUUCCUGACCCUCACCAGUGAAAGCAAGGCAAGAAGAAAGCAACAACUGAAAGAGGGGUUUU
Long non-coding RNA from Carcharodon carcharias (great white shark), 964 nucleotides. RefSeq lists it as uncharacterized. The transcript is spliced from 3 exons. NCBI's taxonomy places the organism in Eukaryota, Metazoa, Chordata, Chondrichthyes, Lamniformes, Lamnidae. The record is from RefSeq and is a predicted model, not a curated record.